Molecule: ribosomal RNA, 467 nt
Filed under: uncultured bacterium
Lineage: Bacteria
Description: partial 16S ribosomal RNA
Rfam family: Bacterial small subunit ribosomal RNA
Source: RNAcentral
GACGAACGCUGGCGGCGUGCUUAACACAUGCAAGUCGAACGGAAAGGCCCUGCUUUUGUGGGGUGCUCGAGUGGCGAACGGGUGAGUAACACGUGAGUAACCUGCCCUUGACUUUGGGAUAACUUCAGGAAACUGGGGCUAAUACCGGAUAGGAGCUCCUGCUGCAUGGUGGGGGUUGGAAAGUUUCGGCGGUUGGGGAUGGACUCGCGGCUUAUCAGCUUGUUGGUGGGGUAGUGGCUUACCAAGGCUUUGACGGGUAGCCGGCCUGAGAGGGUGACCGGCAAAAUGGGGACGGGGAAACGGCCCAGGCCCCCACGGGGGGCAGGGGGGGGGAAUAUUGCAAAAUGGGCGGAAGCCUGAUGCAGCAACGCCGGGGGGGGGAAGACGGCCUUCGGGUUGUAAACCGUUUUCGCCGGUGACGAGGGGGGGGGGAGGGUAAUGGGGAAAGAAGCCCCGGCAAACUACGU